This 543-nucleotide unclassified non-coding RNA is filed under the name Arabidopsis thaliana (thale cress). Lineage: Eukaryota; Viridiplantae; Streptophyta; Magnoliopsida; Brassicales; Brassicaceae. The record is from RNAcentral.
CUUUUCACUGGUUCAAAUUUUCACAGGAUGUUCACGUUCAUGCACCCAAAGUGUUUCAUGUGAAAUUUAAGAAGACAAAAAUUGUUUCUGAUUCUUUAAAGGUCCCUGCAGUGAGCUACAGGGAAGGGUCAAUGAUAUGUUUUGAGCGAUAACACAUUGAAGGAUAGCUUGGGAAAAGACGAGACUUUCUUUAACACACAAUUCAUGGCCGCAGCUACAGGGAAGGGUCAAUGAUCAAAUGGUAAGUAUUGUUUCUGCAUUUGCUUCAAGUUCCUUAUAGGUGGGUUUUUGGAAUGCAUAAAGUUAGGUGAUCUUUUGCUUUGGACAAGACUUUAGAGCAUGGUUAUAGGUGAUACUCAUAUAGUAUCAUUAUUUAUAAUAUGUGGCUAAACAUUAGUUAGAUAUCGGAUUGCAAUUUUUGUUAGCUAGUUCUCAUAUAUCCAACGAUUUCAAGUUAUAUGCGACUGAUAUAAAGAACCAUUGGUUCAAUAGAUGCAUGAGGUUAUUAUACAUUGGUCCUUGGAGAAUGGGGACUAAACGAAU